GGCUUUAGGGUUAGAUCAGUCGCGUAUUUUUCUUUUUCUUAUUAUUCUUCUUGCGACGUUGCUGCUGCUUGUCGAGUGCGUCUCGUCAGACGCGAGGAUCGCCCAGAUUCGUUUUCCUCCUUCCGUCUUCGCCUCUUCAAAGCUCUUAUAUUAUAUGCGUGUAUAUUGGGAUUUUUAUAUCAAUUCUAACCCGUGCCUGUGAAUGGAUGGAUAUCACCAUUUAAAAUACACGAGUUUCGGACACACUCUCAGCAUAUAUUUUAUUGCAAGCGUGACGAUGUUCGAAUCCAUCUGUAACUGCGAAGAUUCAAAUUAAGAGACGAUGAUCGCUCAGUCUCAACGACUUGACCCUUAGCUAGUUGGCGUGUGAGACCGAAGAAGGGAGGCGGAGGUGAUAAAGAGAGAUGAAAUAGACGGAUCGGACGGAAGUCAACGACCCGGGGUGGCGGCGCGAAGCUGUGAUUCUAUAAAGGUAGCUGCGUCAAGACGAAAAGGCGAAAAGACGAGGCGACGAGGAGACGAACCUGCUUGCCGAAGAGGAAGAAAAAACGCUUCGACGAAACGAAAUUAGCGAAAGCGAUCCGAAGGUUUUCGAAACGAGGAAGGUACGAGAGCCCGGAUCGAUAUCUCGGACUUGAUUUCUUUUUUUAACACGUUAUAGCGGACUAAAACUAAGCAACGCAAUUUUUUUAUCCUUUACAUCGGCAUCGUAACGUUAGCAAAACAGUUAUUGUGCAAUUUUAAAAGAAGUUGACUCUUCAAAAUAUGUAUAAACAUGUUUGUUUCUUUGUUAUUAUUUACUAUCUCAACAUUGUACGUGCAGUU
Molecule: long non-coding RNA, 825 nt
Filed under: Neodiprion pinetum (white pine sawfly)
Lineage: Eukaryota; Metazoa; Arthropoda; Insecta; Hymenoptera; Diprionidae
Description: uncharacterized LOC124217996
Source: RNAcentral